AAGUCGAGCGGAUGAAGGGAGCUUGCUCUCUGAUUCAGCGGCGGACGGGUGAGUAAUGCCUAGAAAUCUGCCUGAUAGUGGGGGACAACGUUUCGAAAGGAACGCUAAUACCGCAUACGUCCUACGGGAGAAAGCAGGGGACCUUCGGGCCUUGCGCUAUCAGAUGAGCCUAGGUCGGAUUAGCUAGUUGGUGAGGUAAUGGCUCACCAAGGCGACGAUCCGUAACUGGUCUGAGAGGAUGAUCAGUCACACUGGAACUGAGACACGGUCCAGACUCCUACGGGAGGCAGCAGUGGGGAAUAUUGGACAAUGGGCGAAAGCCUGAUCCAGCCAUGCCGCGUGUGUGAAGAAGGUCUUCGGAUUGUAAAGCACUUUAAGUUGGGAGGAAGGGCAUUAACCUAAUACGUUAGUGUUUUGACGUUACCGACAGAAUAAGCACCGGCUAACUUCGUGCCAGCAGCCGCGGUAAUACGAAGGGUGCAAGCGUUAAUCGGAAUUACUGGGCGUAAAGCGCGCGUAGGUGGUUUGUUAAGUUGGAUGUGAAAGCCCCGGGCUCAACCUGGGAACUGCAUCCAAAACUGGCAAGCUAGAGUAUGGCAGAGGGUGGUGGAAUUUCCUGUGUAGCGGUGAAAUGCGUAGAUAUAGGAAGGAACACCAGUGGCGAAGGCGACCACCUGGGCUAAUACUGACACUGAGGUGCGAAAGCGUGGGGAGCAAACAGGAUUAGAUACCCUGGUAGUCCACGCCGUAAACGAUGUCGACUAGCCGUUGGGAU
Molecule: ribosomal RNA, 775 nt
Filed under: uncultured bacterium
Lineage: Bacteria
Description: bacterial SSU rRNA
Rfam family: Bacterial small subunit ribosomal RNA
Source: RNAcentral